RNAcentral lists this ribosomal RNA (448 nucleotides) under uncultured bacterium. RNAcentral describes it as "SSU rRNA". It matches the Rfam family "Bacterial small subunit ribosomal RNA", at positions 26 to 518 of the family's 1533-position model. The record is from RNAcentral.
AGAGCGAACGCUGGCGGCAGGCUUAACACAUGCAAGUCGAGCGCUCGUAGCAAUACGAGAGCGGCAGACGGGAGAGUAACACGUGGGAACGUACCCUUCGGUUCGGAACAACCCAGGGAAACUUGGGCUAAUACCGGAUACGUCCGUAAGGAGAAAGAUUUAUCGCCGAAGGAUCGGCCCGCGUCUGAUUAGCUAGUUGGUGAGGUAACGGCUCACCAAGGCGACGAUCAGUAGCUGGUCUGAGAGGAUGAUCAGCCUCACUGGGACUGAGACACGGCCCAGACUCCUACGGGAGGCAGCAGUGGGGAAUAUUGGACAAUGGGCGCAAGUCUGAUCCAGCCAUGCCGCGUGGGUGAUGAAGGCCCUAGGGUUGUAAAGCCCUUUCGGCGGGGAAGAUAAUGACGGUACCCGCAGAAGAAGCCCCGGCUAACUUCGUGCCAGCAGCCGC